GACGAACGCUGGCGGCGUGCCUAACACAUGCAAGUCGAGCGAACAGACUCGGAGUUUGCUGCUCUGACGUUAGCGGCGGACGGGUGAGUAACACGUGGAUAACCUAUCAAUAAGACUGGGAUAACUUCGGGACACCGGAGCUAGUACCGGAUAAUAUAUAGAACCGCAUGGUUCAACAGUGAAAGAUGGUUUUGUUGUUAGUUAUAGGUGGUUCCGCGCCGCAUGAGCUAGUUGGUAAGGUAAUGGUUUACCAACGCAACGAGGCGUAGCCGACAUGAGAGGGUGAUCGGCCAGACGGGAACUGAGACACGGUCCAGACUCCUAGGGGGGGCAGCAGUAGGGAAUCUUCCGCGAGGGGCGAAUGGCUGACGGAGCAACGCCGCGUGAAGGAUGAAGGUCUACGGAUCGUAGAACUCUGUUGUUAGGGAAGAGCAAAUGUGUAAGUAACUAUGAACGUCUUGACGGUACCUAAUCAAAAAGCCACGGCUAACUACGUG
This 497-nucleotide ribosomal RNA is filed under the name uncultured bacterium. Its description in RNAcentral is "partial 16S ribosomal RNA". It matches the Rfam family "Bacterial small subunit ribosomal RNA", at positions 28 to 507 of the family's 1533-position model. The record is from RNAcentral.